GCGCCUGUAGCUCAAUUGGAUAGAGCAACGGCCUUCUAAGCCGUAGGUUGCAGGUUCGAGACCUGCCAGGCGCGCCA
Molecule: transfer RNA, 77 nt
Filed under: Zetaproteobacteria bacterium
Lineage: Bacteria; Pseudomonadati; Pseudomonadota; Candidatius Mariprofundia
Description: tRNA-Arg
Rfam family: tRNA
About the family: Transfer RNA (tRNA) molecules are approximately 80 nucleotides in length.
Source: RNAcentral